CAAUAGCGUAUAUUAAAGUUGUUGCGGUUAAAAAGCUCGUAGUUGGAUUUCUGCUGAGGAUGACCGGUCCGCCCUCUGGGCAGGUAUCUGGCUCAGCCUUGGCAUCUUCCUGAAGAACGCAGCUGCACUUGACUGUGUGGUGCGGUAUUUAGGACAUUUACUUUGAGGAAAUUAGAGUGUUUCAAGCAAGCGCACGCCUUGAAUACAUUAGCAUGGAAUAAUAAGAUAGGACCUCGGUUCUAUUUUGUUGGUUUCUAGAACUGAGGUAAUGAUUGAUAGGGAUAGUUGGGGGCAUUCGUAUUUAACUGUCAGAGGUGAAAUUCUUGGAUUUGUUAAAGACGGGCUACUGCGAAAGCAUUUGCCAAGGAUGUUUUCAUUGA
This 380-nucleotide ribosomal RNA is filed under the name uncultured eukaryote. RNAcentral's name for it is "partial 18S ribosomal RNA". It matches the Rfam family "Eukaryotic small subunit ribosomal RNA", at positions 592 to 976 of the family's 1831-position model. The record is from RNAcentral.